GUGCUCACUUCGGCAGCACAUAUACUAAAAUUGGAACGAUACAGAUAAGAUUAGCAUGGCCCCUGCACAAGGAUGACACGCAAAUUCAUGAAGUGUUCCAUAUUUUU
Molecule: small nuclear RNA, 107 nt
Organism: Delphinapterus leucas (beluga whale)
Lineage: Eukaryota; Metazoa; Chordata; Mammalia; Artiodactyla; Monodontidae
Source: Ensembl